AGCCGUCCAGCAGUGUCACCACUGAAGAGAGCCCGUCCAGUCGGUCGGCCGGCGGCGUCAGCGUCAUGCCGGGAGGAACCUGCCACGCCACAGACAACCAAUAAAGGUAAGUAGUGUUAGUCAAUAGCCCGCUGCCCAUUUGCAGAAAAGGUCUAUCGGCCUUCUGUAGAAGUUACCUGGAUUUUAUUGAGUCUGGCAACCAACUGCUUGGACUUCGCCUCCACUAUGGCUUUCAUCCUGAUGACCUCCACCGACAUGGGGACCGCCGUGACCGCGCC
Hippocampus zosterae (dwarf seahorse) is the source of this 278-nucleotide long non-coding RNA. RefSeq lists it as uncharacterized. Lineage: Eukaryota; Metazoa; Chordata; Actinopteri; Syngnathiformes; Syngnathidae. The transcript has 2 exons. The record is from RefSeq and is a predicted model, not a curated record.